AAAAAAGUGUCAUUGUCCUCGUUUGUCUUUUGGAUUUCACAGAGCAAUGAACAGAUUCAUGGAUUAUUUAAGAAGAUUGAUUAUUUAGAUCAAGGAAAGAUUUCUUGGGCUGACUUCUGCACACAUAUUCUGCACGAGUAUCACGAAAAGGAAGAAAUUGUCAAGCGCAGCAAGCAAGUGGCCUUCGCUCAACCGGCCAAAGUGAAAACUCUUAGUCAUGAUUUUCCCAUUGUCAACAUCCACUCCACCCAUGAUGGCAGCGUGUUCACGGUCAGAGAAGAUGGGCUCGUUUGUCACUGGAGCGCUGAACUUAAACUACAGAAGAGCAAACAGAUCUUUAAUGAAGGAUCUGCUGGUAGAAAGUCAAGGUGGGCAACUGAUUCCACACUAAUGGAGGAAUACAAAAAGCUCAUUAUUGGAACCGGGAGCAAAGAGAUCCAGUUUUAUGAACUUUCAACUUUAAAACCUUGUUGUCAAAUAAGCGCUCUGGCCUCAAUUCCUCUGACUGUGGACUGCAGGUGGGUCGAUGUUCUGCAUCAUCUCUGACAAACACCUGUGUGUUCGAUGCUCCUAAUGGGUUUUUUAUCCCUCCACGCCAAAGCUCUACUGGCCCUGAUAAAUGUUGUGUGCUAUAUGGAGACACUGAGGUAGGUCCUUUGUCUGGAAUUAAUCAAAGGAACAGAAAAUGUUAAGGCUGAAGCAGUGACAUGAGUUGAUUUUGUGUUGCAGGGAUGUGUGAACAUCUUUUUCAUAUCUGCUGUUAAACAGACAUUCAGGUAAUGAUGCUUUAUGUUCAACUGCAAAAAUCAGAAAUAAAUCAAGAAUUUUAAAACUUUCUUAAAACAAUUAUCAUUUAAUUAAUGAAAUUAAUUUUUGAUCAUUGGAUUUAUCGUCAAUGAAAACAAUCAUUUUUUCAAAUAAUCAAACGGAUUGUAAAAAAGAAUUUAAAAACAAACAAGAAGCAAAUGUGAAAAAAAUAGUUUGCAAAACAUCAAGGCUUAGUGUUACAGACACAUAUAUAUAUUAAAAUAGUUGGCAAAUUUUCUUUAAAAGGAUUUUUUGGUGCAAAAAAUGAGAAGUAAAAAUUGACAAGAAAAACAGAAAUUUGGGGUAAAAGUCAAAAAUAGGAAAUGUUUCUCCUUAAGAUUCUAAAGCAAGA
RNAcentral lists this long non-coding RNA (1159 nucleotides) under Oryzias javanicus (javanese ricefish). RNAcentral describes it as "lncRNA (ENSOJAG00000010465.1)". The record is from RNAcentral. Lineage: Eukaryota; Metazoa; Chordata; Actinopteri; Beloniformes; Adrianichthyidae.